RNAcentral lists this long non-coding RNA (369 nucleotides) under Nicotiana benthamiana. RNAcentral describes it as "long non-coding RNA (NBEN_LNC022304)". Lineage: Eukaryota; Viridiplantae; Streptophyta; Magnoliopsida; Solanales; Solanaceae. The record is from RNAcentral.
UAGGCUGAUUCCUGAGCAAGUCUAAGCCAUUACGAAGCUGAAAGCUCCGCUGUUGAACAAACUCCAAUGAACUCCCUAACUUCAAAUCAUCCCUAACGGACCACCGCCAACGAGCUCUCUCAUUUCCUUGCUUUAACACCGACAUGAUUGAACUCUGUAACACCAUAGACGCUAACGCAAACACAAAAAUAACCAAAAAUAUGCACAAAUAUAACCACGAUCUCUCUCUAAAACAAUAAAAAAUCCUUGCUUUAACACCGACAUGAUUGAGCUCUGUAACACCAUAGACGCUAACGCAAACACAAAAAUAACCAAAAAUAUGCACAAAUAUAACCACGAUCUCUCUCUAAAACAAUAAAAAAUCAGCUU